This 1415-nucleotide long non-coding RNA is filed under the name Felis catus (domestic cat). RNAcentral's name for it is "lncRNA (ENSFCAG00000041054.2)". The record is from RNAcentral. Lineage: Eukaryota; Metazoa; Chordata; Mammalia; Carnivora; Felidae.
AACACCACGUGUUUACUAGACAACUAACAGUGCAGGUGUCAUCCCUGGAAACACCCAUAAAAACGCAAGUCAAAUGACCACACCUGUAUUUCAAGUAACCAACCUCCCUGCCCUGCUCCGCCAUCUCCCUGUCCCAGAUCUGAGUCUUGAUCUGGGGGAGAAAAACACAUCCACCUUCAGUCGGAAGGUGGUGCCACACUGUGCACCAAACAAAGAGGAGGAAACAAGAAAACACUUACCUAGUUGUCCUGAGCAUUCUUCUCAUGAACUGCAAGCUGAAAAAGCCAACAAUGAAAAGCCCAUGGUUAGGGAUUCCAAGGGCCACUACACUCACCCGCGUGAGGUGCUAAGGGUUCAGUAUGUCAGGCAGAACUCAGGUUACUGUUCCCGUGUUUGUUCAAUUUGUUGCCUGUGAGUUACAAUUGCUCUUGUCAGAUAAGGCCCAAUAUUGGGUAUGAUUUUAAAUAAGCUGCCCACGUUCCCAACAACCUCAUAUCUGUCCCCUGAUACAAUUUAUUCUUACACUGAAACCUCACUUGCCCAUGGAUUAUCAAUGUACAGUAGGAUCAAAGCUAUUGUUACAUCCUUUCCUUACUCAUUAGUCCAUGCUUGUAGGGUUCAGAGUUCAUAGAAUUCCUUCCCAUUUUCAAUCUUUCUCUAACUCAUCAUGUGACAAGUGUCUUUUAUCAUAAAGGUAUAUUCUUCUAUAACUUAUAUCCUCACCAUGUUUCCCAGGGUUGCAAAGACGAGGGCCAUGAAAUGGCACUACCACAUUGAUGGGUAUGAUUCAUUGUACGACACACUGCUUUCCUACAGAUGAUGACAAUUGACACCACCCCCGAGGAAUGUUAGCAUGGACAAAGUUUCCACACAGUCUGGUCACUACUUGAGAUCUGCAAAUGUUUAGAAACUUAAUUGUUUUAUUCUUUCUAAAACUUACCUUUUUUAUCUGUUAAUACUCUAUGCAUAUGUUGACUUUAAACAUUGCAAAAAGAUUAAAAACCAAAAAAUAACAGCGGUUUCAUGAGCUGCUGGUAAUUACUGGCUGAACUCACUUGUACUUGUUUAUUUCUUCUGUCGCUAUUUUCUUUUUUUUCCUAAUGUUUACUUUUGAGACAGAGAGAGAGUGAGCACAUGCAUGAGCGGGGGAGGGACAGAGAGAGAUGUAACAGAAUCUGAAACAGGCUCCAGGCUCUGACCUGUCAGCACAGAGCCUGACACAGGCCUUGAACUCCUGGACUGUGAAAUUAUGACCUGAGAUGAAGUUGGACGCUUAAACGACUGAGCCACCCAGGCGCCCCUUCUGUAGCUAUUUUCAAAUUUUACCUGCAGCUGCCAGCUCAUUCUUCUUUGCCGCCAGUGUCACUUUCAGCUUCCUAAGUUCCCCCUUUUUACCUCCCAGCACUCUUGCAGGC